RNAcentral lists this ribosomal RNA (465 nucleotides) under uncultured bacterium. RNAcentral describes it as "partial 16S ribosomal RNA". It matches the Rfam family "Bacterial small subunit ribosomal RNA", at positions 28 to 506 of the family's 1533-position model. The record is from RNAcentral.
GACGAACGCUGGCGGCGCGCCUAACACAUGCAAGUCGAACGAGCGAGCGAGAGCUUGCUUUCUCGAGCGAGUGGCGAACGGGUGAGUAACGCGUGAGGAACCUGCCUCAAAGAGGGGGACAACAGUUGGAAACGACUGCUAAUACCGCAUAAGCCCACGACCCGGCAUCGGGUAGAGGGAAAAGGAGCAAUCCGCUUUGAGAUGGCCUCGCGUCCGAUUAGCUAGUUGGUGAGGUAACGGCCCACCAAGGCGACGAUCGGUAGCCGGACUGAGAGGUUGAACGGCCACAUUGGGACUGAGACACGGCCCAGACUCCUACGGGAGGCAGCAGUGGGGAAUAUUGCACAAUGGGGGAAACCCUGAUGCAGCGACGCCGCGUGGAGGAAGAAGGUCUUCGGAUUGUAAACUCCUGUUGUUGAGGAAGAUAAUGACGGUACUCAACAAGGAAGUGACGGCUAACUACGU